CGGGCAGGGGGCUGCGGCUGCCGGGCCCGGCAGGCCAGAGGCCGCCCAAGGGGUGGUUGUGGUGACCCCGGGGGGGGGGGGGCAGGGCCACUACUGCCCCGGCAAGGUGAGGCCUGUGCUCAGGGCCUCUGCACUGCCGCUGGAGAAGGCAGAGGGGAGAGAAAAGGUGGCAAAAGGUGAUGGCUGGUGGUAAGGAUGCCCAGGCAGGCAGUGGUGCAGAAGUACUUGCAGUCGGAGAAUGCGGGAGUCAGUCACUGAAACACCACCAUAAAGUGAAGUUUUCCUCCCUAGCAGCUCAAAUGGCAUGUUUGCUGAGUGAAAAUGAGUGAGGCUAUCCAGCCUCCCUGCUGAAUCCUACAUUUGACAAGUCUCUGCUUGUGCCUUUCUUCUGAUUGGGAGACUGGAAGAAUGGACCGCUUUACUUCAGGGGAGCCUCAGGGCCAUUUGAGAAGUCACAGCAGAGCAGUGCUGAUGGACAGGAUUGCUGCUUUUGCCUUGCUCACUGCAGCCCCCAUUUCCCAGUAAGGAAUUGCCGAGUUGCUGUUUCUCAGGACAGAGAGUAAAAAUGGAGUCCUGGAGCCCUCUGGUGGAUGCGUAUAGAAAGAAGUCAGCUGAACAUGCGAGUCAUUAAACUCUGGAAACGCAUUGCCAUAUUCACCAGUAUACAUAUACACCAGUACAUAUACUUAAUUUUAAAUCCAAAAGGGGUUUCUUUCUGUUCCUCCUGAGAAAACUUAUCUUGCAAUUUCAGAGUCUUACAAAUAAAUGAAUCUGUAUCUUGA
Long non-coding RNA from Rhea pennata, 782 nucleotides. RefSeq lists it as uncharacterized. The transcript has 3 exons. The record is from RefSeq and is a predicted model, not a curated record. NCBI's taxonomy places the organism in Eukaryota, Metazoa, Chordata, Aves, Rheiformes, Rheidae.